AUCGCCUAGCAUGUGGAAGGCCCUGGGUCCGAAAAGAAAAAAAGGAAAGAAAGAAAAGAAAAAGGGAGGGAGGCGAAAAGGGAGAGAAGAACAAAGACGGAGGGUGUUAAACUCCAGCUCCACCCCUGCCUUUUGUGGAGUCAAUUCUCUCGUGUCAAUCAAAGCAAGCUCAGUAACCAGAACAGAGGCGCCACCCGCUUCCUCCCUCCCAUGACCCAUUUGUCCUAAUCUCCGUGUUUCUCCCUGAUUGCCAGGAGGUGAGCACUAGACUUCACUGCUCCCUCCACUGAGCAGACUGUGACCAGGAAUCUGCAGUUACUUCCCUCCAGAGCUGCCAGGGCUUUGGCUCCAUGGGUGGUCCUGGGUCCUAACGCAGGCUGACCACUCUAUGUUGGUAGACAAUUCCAAGACCCUUCACUUGAACAGCUUAGAUUUUCCGCUGCGUCAGUUGAGGUCUGUCGGGGAGCAGACGACUCAGCAAACCAGAGUGUUCCAGAAUUAUGGCGUGAAGGGGUGUUGUGACCAGGCUGUCCCUCGCCAGAAAUUACCCCACAUUGUAUAAAACCGUGUUUUCCAGAACAUGUCUUGUCCUGAGAGACUCUGUGUCACAAGCAGCUUUGGACUCCCUUUUGAGGAUGAAGGACGACUGUUGGCCUUGGUGGACAUGUGUAAGGCACCGUCUGUCCAGUGUCACCCACACAACACAGACUGACAAAUUACUUCUUCCUGGGAAGAGAAAGGGUGUCAGUCACCUUGUAGUCCCGUCAGGAAACCCAGGACAGUAAAGGUUAUCAGACACACUAGGCAAGGGGAGGGUGCGACUCCCGCAUCUGGACCCUAAUGCCUGAUGGCAGUGGUCUCACCAACCUGUCAUCUGGACGCCCCGUGUGUGUGUGUGUGUGUGUGUGUGUGUGUGUGUGUGUGUGUGUGUGUGUGUGUAGGCAGAGAACUCCUCACUGUCCCUGGGACCUCAGCUCAGUUCUGUCUCCACUGUCGAACGGCUGUCUGUCCAUCCUCCCAUUCACACAUCUGGACCAUCCAUCCACCCAGUCAUCCACUGGACUUGGCCACGCCCUUGGUCUCUGUGGCCUUCGGUGCACCUUGCUCCUGUGGCUCGACCCUGCCCUUGCAGCCUGACUGUGUGCAGCCAAUAGCCAGAGCGGCCUCUCCACUCACUCGGUGAGGUGUGUCAGCUUAUCCCAGAGUCUUCCCUGCCUCUCUGGGCUCCCUCAUCUUUAACCCUUGGUAGCUCUUCUGUAAUCUCCAUAUGGACACAGUAGGCAGGUAGGCUUACUGUGCGAUGUGUAAUGUAUAAUCCAAGAGUUAAUAUUAGUGAUGAUUGAAACGUGAGAACAGUGUUUCCCCUGGCCACCUUGUGAAUUUUUUUUUCUUCCCAGUAAAUUCUAACAUUGUGGGAAGACACAGACAGAUCAUCUAUGUUCCUGACGUGGUGAGCUCGUGACAAGAGGUCAAGAUGAUCUGAAGGGGGUGUGGGAAAUGACCACCUUGGGCUAAGGACCGCAGGAAGCCACCACUCCCCCCUCUGGUCUGAUGGGACAAGACAUGACAAGUUCGGCUCCUUCCCUGGACAGGUGACAUGGACAGGUGUAACAUCUGGAAACACCUCCAGGCAAAACAUCUGGAAGGAGGAAUUAACACCUCCCCCCAACUUCUCCUCAUGUGGAGCAGAAUUUGGAGGGAAGGGAGGAAGGGGGCUAUAAAUAACUGAGCAAAUGAGUUAAAGACAUGAGCCUGCCCGGCCAGCAGUCACUCAAACAGUUAAGGCAAUUUCCUUCAGCUGGCCUUUCCCUAAGGUCAAAUUUGUUUAUGGAUAAUUCCAGAAUCCCUCCCAAAGACACCCACUAAAGCCUCUCCGCCCUCAGAGCGCUGCCUGUCCUCUUUCUCAUUCUAGAAGGCAUCUGAGUCUGGGGCAGUGGACUUGCUCAGAGUCUCUCUUCCCAGCCUCCAGCAGGUACGACUGCGGAAGGGGCUGGGCAGGGCCCAGGUAGCCCGGAUCUACUGCGCAGGUAUCUAGGACCUUAGGGCCCCCGUCCUACAGGGAAAACAGCAGCAAUUUUCCAGAACAGGGCACAAGUGACCCUGCUGUGGGUGACGUUAGGGCCUGUGUGUCACAAACAGUCAAAAGGAAAAAUCAAAACCCCUCACUAAAGAACACAAAUGCCCCGAUCCCUCAGCAACCUGCACCCUAAAUGUUCACUCCCAGAGCUAAUGAGAGCCCCUCAGACCUGAGGAAGGCAUGCUGUCUGAUGGGAGGGGUGUGUCACCACUGUAAACACCAGUGACUCUGGAAAAGCUACUUCAGAGUUUGGCCCCACUGAGCUACGGAUACUUCUAGACAAAAGAAAUUAAUUAACUUGUCAAGUCCUUCCUCCCAGCAUAAAUGCAAUCAGUUCUUGCCCCACAAACCUCAUUUCCUGGGGGACAGACACCUGUCUCUUCCCUCUUCCUUACAUUCCCAUCCCUGGGCCCAAGGCUUCUGCAGCAGCUGUGCAGGGAAGGGGACGUGCCCACACAUGUGUGCAUGCACACGUGUGUGUGUGUGUGUGUGUGUGUGUGUGUGUGUGUGUGUGUGUGUGUGUGCAGGCUGCAGCUUCACACGUGGGAAGCUAAGACUGACCCUCAGCCCUUCAAGAUGGAUACUGAAUUCUGGAGUUUCAAACGGCUUUCUGUUCAGGAGAGCAUUUAACAAGAUGUAUUCACUCCCUCGGAAAUGUAAAUUAAAUCCAAAGCCUUAUUUAAAUCA
Molecule: long non-coding RNA, 2764 nt
Organism: Peromyscus californicus insignis
Lineage: Eukaryota; Metazoa; Chordata; Mammalia; Rodentia; Cricetidae
Exons: 2
Source: RefSeq, a predicted model, not a curated record